CUGUUUACGAAAUUUUGAAGCUGCCCGCGAGAUAUUUGCGUCGUGGCCUCGUGGCAAAAUAUGUUAGUAGUUAGUACCGCCAAAAGGAAAACUUCAGUUCCGGUUACCUGAGUUUUGUCUUAAGAUCUGGAUUAAAUAAUCUUUAUUAUGAACUUUUCCCCAUACAAAAUACUUUUCUUAGUAACCAUUGUGUUCUUGUGGAUUGCAGCCCUUAAUCUUCGAGCAAUCAAAGGUUCAGUACAGCUGCGGGAAAGACUUGAAGUUCCUAACCCUGACAGUGUCUUAUUUCAGCUUUUCACUCGGAAAAAUCCUGAUACAGCACAAUUUCUUCAAGUAGGAAACAUUCUUCUGCUGGAACAGUCAAACUAUAACAAUAGCCUGCCAACCAAAAUGUUUGUUCAUGGUUAUGGUGCUGUUCCUAGUCAGGGCUAUUCUGCUAAAGAUGCAUACUUGUUGCGAGAGGACUGCAACUUUAUUUCAGUAGACUGGACCACCCUUGGUUCCAGUAAUUAUGUAUUAGUUGCAGUAAACAAUAUCCCUAUAGCUGGGUCUACAACUGGUGCCUUUGUAGAUUUUCUUUUUAGCCAAGGAACACCACUGGAUGCUUUUCAUCUUAUUGGAUUUAGCAUGGGGGCCCAUAUUGUUGGUCAUGCUGGAGCCCAUAUGACAUCCACGGGACUCCUACCGAGAAUCACUGGUUUGGAUCCGGCAGAGUACUGUUUUCCUCUAGAACUAACCAACAACCGUCUUGACACAAGUGAUGCAUCUUUCGUAGAUGUCAUUCACACUAGCGAUAUUGCCUAUAGAAAAGCUGCAGGACAUGCGGAUUUUUAUGCCAAUGGUGGCAUCCUUCAACCCGGAUGCUCAUCACGCAUUCCCGACACUGAAUGUUGCAGUCAUUGCCGUGUCGUUGACCUGUUUGCAGAAUCCAUCAACAGCCCAUUAGGUUUCAAGGCGUUCCGCUGUGAUUCUUGGGAGAAUUUCCAGGUUGGCCUUUGUAACAAUAGCACACAGUCGUUCAUGGGAGAGCCAACUUCAUCAAGUUUCUGUUGAGUUGCAACACUUGUUUGGAAUCCCAGACUUCUAAGAAACAGGAUGAAAUGUUUGUAUUACACAACACUUGUACCUCUGUGUAUGAUAGCCUUUCACCUUCACACACUUAAAGGUUCGAUAGAUUUAAAAGCUGGUCCCGAAACCGUCCUUUUCGAAUUGUUUACACGGAACAAUCCGGACGUAGCACAAAUUCUUCAAGUGGAUGACAAUGCCCUCCUGGAACAGUCGAAUUACAAUAGCAGUCUUCCAACUAAAAUUUUUGCACACGGAUGGGUUGGAUUUCCAGAUCAAGGCUAUUCUU
RNAcentral lists this unclassified non-coding RNA (1354 nucleotides) under Daphnia magna. RNAcentral's name for it is "pancreatic triacylglycerol lipase-like, transcript variant X1". The record is from RNAcentral. Lineage: Eukaryota; Metazoa; Arthropoda; Branchiopoda; Diplostraca; Daphniidae.